Molecule: ribosomal RNA, 425 nt
Filed under: uncultured bacterium
Lineage: Bacteria
Description: bacterial SSU rRNA
Rfam family: Bacterial small subunit ribosomal RNA
Source: RNAcentral
GAGGAAUAUUGGGCAAUGGGCGAAAGCCUGACCCAGCCACGCCGCGUGAGUGAUGAAGGCCUUCGGGUUGUAAAGCUCUGUGGGGAGGGAAGAAAAAGCGGGAGAGUAACUGCUCUCGUGUUGACGGUACCUCCUUAGCAAGCACCGGCUAACUCUGUGCCAGCAGCCGCGGUAAUACAGAGGGUGCAAACGUUGCUCGGAAUUACUGGGCGUAAAGCGCGUGUAGGCUGACAUGCAAGUCGGGUGUGAAAUCCCAGGGCUCAACCUUGGAACUGCACUCGAAACUGCACGUCUUGAGUACUGGAGAGGGAAGCGGAAUUCCGGGUGUAGAGGUGAAAUUCGUAGAUAUCCGGAGGAACACCAGUGGCGAAGGCGGCUUCCUGGACAGUAACUGACGCUGAGACGCGAAAGCGUGGGGAGCAAAC